Molecule: ribosomal RNA, 511 nt
Filed under: uncultured bacterium
Lineage: Bacteria
Description: bacterial SSU rRNA
Rfam family: Bacterial small subunit ribosomal RNA
Source: RNAcentral
AACGAACGCUGGCAGCGUGGAUUAGGCAUGCAAGUCGGACGGGAUCGUCUGGAUAGCAAUAUUCGGGCGUGAGAGUGGCGGAUUGGGAGGAGCACGUGAGCAACCUGCCCUGGAGAUGUGGAAAAACCUCUGGAAACGGAGGCUAAUACAGAAUGUGGCGCCCCGUGGCAUCACGGGAGCGCCGAAGGGGGCCGCAAGGCUCCCGCUCCGGGAUGGGCUCGCGCACCAUCAGCUAGUUGGCGGGUAACGGCCCACCAAGGCCUACGGUUAGCUGGUCUGAGAGGAUGACCAGCCCCACUGGGACUGAGAUACUGCCCAGACUCCUACGGGAGGCUGCAGUCGAGGAUCAUUCGCAAUGGGCGAAAGCCUGACGAUGCGACGCUGCGUGGAAGGAUGAAGGCCUUCGGGUCGUAAACUCCUGUCAUGGGGGAAGAGGCGAGGGAAGCGAACACCUUCCUUAGUUGACUGUACCCCAAGAGGAAGCGACGGCUAACUCUGUGCCAGCCGCCGC